This 253-nucleotide ribosomal RNA is filed under the name uncultured bacterium. Its description in RNAcentral is "partial 16S ribosomal RNA". It matches the Rfam family "Bacterial small subunit ribosomal RNA", at positions 524 to 776 of the family's 1533-position model. The record is from RNAcentral.
GACGUAGGGUGCAAGCGUUAUCCGGAAUUAUUGGGCGUAAAGAGCUCGUAGGCGGUUUGUCGCGUCUGCCGUGAAAGUCCGGGGCUCAACUCCGGAUCUGCGGUGGGUACGGGCAGACUAGAGUGAUGUAGGGGAGACUGGAAUUCCUGGUGUAGCGGUGGAAUGCGCAGAUAUCAGGAGGAACACCGAUGGCGAAGGCAGAUCUCUGGGCCAUUACUGACGCUGAGGAGCGAAAGCAUGGGGAGCGAACAGG